RNAcentral lists this ribosomal RNA (253 nucleotides) under uncultured bacterium. Its description in RNAcentral is "partial 16S ribosomal RNA". It matches the Rfam family "Bacterial small subunit ribosomal RNA", at positions 524 to 776 of the family's 1533-position model. The record is from RNAcentral.
GACAGAGGGGGCAAGCGUUGCUCGGAAUUACUGGGCGUAAAGGGCGCGUAGGCGGAAUGGCAAGUCGGUCGUGAAAUCCUUCGGCUCAACCGAAGAACGUCGAUCGAAACUGCCGUUCUUGAGGAUUGCAGAGGAGACUGGAAUUCCCGGUGUAGCGGUGAAAUGCGUAGAUAUCGAGAGGAACACCUGCGGCGAAUGCGGGUUGCUGGGCUGACACUGACGCUGAUGUGCGAAAGCUAGUGGAGCGAACGGG